This 635-nucleotide ribosomal RNA is filed under the name uncultured Marinobacter sp. RNAcentral's name for it is "bacterial SSU rRNA". It matches the Rfam family "Bacterial small subunit ribosomal RNA", at positions 870 to 1504 of the family's 1533-position model. The record is from RNAcentral. Lineage: Bacteria; Pseudomonadati; Pseudomonadota; Gammaproteobacteria; Pseudomonadales; Marinobacteraceae.
CACCUGGGGAGUGCGGCCGCAAGGUUAAAACUCAAAUGAAUUGACGGGGGCCCGCACAAGCGGUGGAGCAUGUGGUUUAAUUCGACGCAACGCGAAGAACCUUACCUGGCCUUGACAUCCAGAGAGCUUUCCAGAGAUGGAUUGGUGCCUUCGGGAACUCUGGGACAGGUGCUGCAUGGCCGUCGUCAGCUCGUGUCGUGAGAUGUUGGGUUAAGUCCCGUAACGAGCGCAACCCCUAUCCCUGGUUGCUAGCAGGUAAUGCUGAGAACUCCAGGGAGACUGCCGGUGACAAACCGGAGGAAGGUGGGGAUGACGUCAGGUCAUCAUGGCCCUUACGGCCAGGGCUACACACGUGCUACAAUGGCGCGUACAGAGGGCUACCAACUCGCGAGAGUGAGCCAAUCCCUUAAAACGCGUCGUAGUCCGGAUCGGAGUCUGCAACUCGACUCCGUGAAGUCGGAAUCGCUAGUAAUCGCGAAUCAGAAUGUCGCGGUGAAUACGUUCCCGGGCCUUGUACACACCGCCCGUCACACCAUGGGAGUGGAUCGCACCAGAAGUAGUUAGUCUAACCUUCGGGAGGACGAUUACCACGGUGUGGUUCAUGACUGGGGUGAAGUCGUAACAAGGUAACCGUA